This 253-nucleotide ribosomal RNA is filed under the name Parasutterella secunda. RNAcentral's name for it is "partial 16S ribosomal RNA". It matches the Rfam family "Bacterial small subunit ribosomal RNA", at positions 524 to 776 of the family's 1533-position model. The record is from RNAcentral. Lineage: Bacteria; Pseudomonadati; Pseudomonadota; Betaproteobacteria; Burkholderiales; Sutterellaceae.
UACGUAGGGUGCGAGCGUUAAUCGGAAUUACUGGGCGUAAAGCGUGCGCAGGCGGCUUUGUAAGACAGAUGUGAAAUCCCUGAGCUUAACUUAGGAACUGCAUUUGUGACUGCAAGGCUAGAGUAUGUCAGAGGGAGGUGGAAUUCCAAGUGUAGCAGUGAAAUGCGUAGAUAUUUGGAAGAACACCGAUGGCGAAGGCAGCCUCCUGGGAUAAUACUGACGCUCAUGCACGAAAGCGUGGGGAGCAAACAGG